This 326-nucleotide ribosomal RNA is filed under the name uncultured bacterium. RNAcentral's name for it is "bacterial SSU rRNA". It matches the Rfam family "Bacterial small subunit ribosomal RNA", at positions 32 to 349 of the family's 1533-position model. The record is from RNAcentral.
AAUCAACGCUGGCGGCGUGCCUAACACAUGCAAGUCGAACGCGAAAAUUCCUUCGGGGAUGAGUAGAGUGGCGUCCGGGUGAGUAACGCGUGGGUAAUCUGCCUUCGGGUGGGGGAAUAACCCAGGGAAACUUGGGCUAAUACCGCAUAAUGCAGCGGCUCGACAUCGAGACAGUUGUUAAAGCAGCAAUGCGCCUGAAGAGGAGCCUGCGUCUGAUUAGCAGUUGGUAAGGUAAUGGCUUACCAAGGCUACGAUCAGUAGCUGGUCUGAGAGGACGGCCAGCCACAAUGGGCACUGAAACACGGGGCCAUACUCCUACGGGAGGC